AUGAACUCGAAGGACUACGGCGUGACUGCCGCCGAGGAGUACAUUGCCGCCCUCAUCGCCGCUGUCUCGCUCUUUCGCAUACAUUGCCACAUGGCCCUCACUGUCCUCGAAAUCUCCCACUCAUUGUCAAACCAAGUAAGGAUCUCCUUCAACCUGGCUAACUUUGCCUGGUCGCCGCCGGCGAUCUGCCUGAUUCGCUUCUGCAUCCUCUCCAUAGAUGUCCUUCUGAGUGGUCUGGUGCUAGCUUUGGAAGAUGGGAGGAGAGACGGUGGUCUUGCAAUAGAGAAGAGGGAGAGGCGAGACGGUGGUUUUGGAAUGGAGAUGAUGGAGAGGAGAGGGGGUGGUUUUGCAAUGGAGAAGAGGGAGAGGCGAGACAGUAGUUUUGGAAUGGAGAUGAUGGAGAGGAGAGGUUUCCCUGCCUUUCGGUCGCUGACAGGUGGGCCCCGCGCUUGGUGGGACCCAUGUGUCAGUGUCUCAAUGGCAGGAUGGGCUACGUCAGCGGAUCCUUGUUCGAGGGGAGAGGAGGUGGUAUUGCAAUGGAGAAGAGGGAGAGGCGAGACAGUGGUUUUGAAAUGGAGAUGA
This 582-nucleotide ribosomal RNA is filed under the name Triticum aestivum (bread wheat). Its description in RNAcentral is "partial small subunit ribosomal RNA". The record is from RNAcentral. Lineage: Eukaryota; Viridiplantae; Streptophyta; Magnoliopsida; Poales; Poaceae.